This 467-nucleotide ribosomal RNA is filed under the name uncultured beta proteobacterium. RNAcentral's name for it is "bacterial SSU rRNA". It matches the Rfam family "Bacterial small subunit ribosomal RNA", at positions 66 to 524 of the family's 1533-position model. Lineage: Bacteria; Pseudomonadati; Pseudomonadota; Betaproteobacteria. The record is from RNAcentral.
ACGGCAGCAUAGAGAGCUUGCUCUCUGAUGGCGAGUGGCGAACGGGUGAGUAAUAUAUCGGAACGUGCCUAGUAAUGGGGAACAACUAGCUGAAAGGUUAGCUAAUACCGCAUACGACCUACGGGUGAAAGCAGGGGAUCUUCGGACCUUGCGUUAUUAGAGCGGCCGAUAUCUGAUUAGCUUGUUGGUGGGGUAAUGGCCUACCAAGGCGACGAUCAGUAGCUGGUCUGAGAGGACGAUCAGCCACACUGGAACUGAGACACGGUCCAGACUCCUACGGGAGGCAGCAGUGGGGAAUUUUGCACAAUGGGGGAAACCCUGAUGCAGCCAUUCCGCGUGAGUGAAGAAGGCCUUCGGGUUGUAAAGCUCUUUCGCAAGAGAAGAAAACUUAUAAUCUAAUAUAUUGUAAGCAUGACGGUAUCUUGAUAAGAAGCACCGGCUAACUACGUGCCAGCAGCCGCGGUAAU